Molecule: ribosomal RNA, 478 nt
Filed under: uncultured bacterium
Lineage: Bacteria
Description: partial 16S ribosomal RNA
Rfam family: Bacterial small subunit ribosomal RNA
Source: RNAcentral
GAUGAACGCUAGCGGCAGGCCUAACACAUGCAAGUCGAGGGAGAAGCCCUUUCGGGGGCAGACACCGGCGCACGGGUGCGUAACGCGUAUGCAACCUACCUUUCACAGGGGGAUAGCCCGAAGAAAUUUGGAUUAAUACCCCAUAAUAUUAUUGGAUGGCAUCAUUUGAUAUUUAAAAUUGCGUUGGGGAAAGAUGGGCAUGCGUCCUAUUAGCUAGUUGGAGUGGUAACGGCACCCCAAGGCUACGAUAGGUAGGGGUCCUGAGAGGGAGAUCCCCCACACUGGUACUGAGACAGGGACCAGACUCCUACGGGAGGCAGCAGUGAGGAAUAUUGGUCAAGGGUCGGAAGACUGAACCAGCCAUGCCGCGUGCAGGAAGAAUGCCUUAUGGGUUGUAAACUGCUUUUAUAUGGGAAGAAUAAGGCGUACGUGUACGUUGAUGACGGUACCAUAUGAAUAAGCAUCGGCUAACUCCGUG